Molecule: ribosomal RNA, 253 nt
Filed under: uncultured bacterium
Lineage: Bacteria
Description: partial 16S ribosomal RNA
Rfam family: Bacterial small subunit ribosomal RNA
Source: RNAcentral
UACGAAGGGUGCAAACGUUGCUCGGAAUUAUUGGGCGUAAAGCGCACGUAGGCGGCAUCGCAAGUCGGAUGUGAAAUCUUAUGGCUUAACCAUAAAAGUGCAUCCGAAACUGCAGUGCUUGAGUACUUAAGAGGAUCGCGGAAUUCCAGGUGUAGCGGUGAAAUGCGUAGAUAUCUGGAGGAACACCGGUGGCGAAGGCGGCGUUCUGGACUGCAACUGACACUGAGAAACGAAAGCCAGGGGAGCAAACGGG